Molecule: unclassified non-coding RNA, 332 nt
Filed under: soil metagenome
Description: partial contains 5.8S ribosomal RNA, internal transcribed spacer 2, and large subunit ribosomal RNA
Rfam family: 5.8S ribosomal RNA (bases 1-120)
Source: RNAcentral
GAUGAAGAACGUAGCGAAACGCGAUAUGUAAUGUGAAUUGCAGAAUUCAGUGAAUCAUCGAAUCUUUGAACGCACAUUGCGCCCUUUGGUAUUCCUUAGGGCAUGCCUGUUCGAGCGUCAUUUAAACCUUCAAGCUCAGCUUGGUGUUGGGUGACUGUCCGCUUCACCGCGGACUCGCCUCAAAAUUAUUGGCGGCCGGUACAUUGGCUUCGAGCGCAGCAGAAACGCGAACUCGGGCCCGUCGUAUUGGCUCCCAGAAGCUAUCUUCACAAUUUUGACCUCGGAUCAGGUAGGGAUACCCGCUGAACUUAAGCAUAUCAAUAAGCGGAGGA